AUGUGUGAUUGGCUGGUUGUUGUGUGUUACUGGCUGGUUGUUGUGUGUUACUGGCUGGUUGUUAUGUGUGAUUGGCUGGUUGUUGUGUGUGUGAUUGGCUGGUUGUUGUGUGUGUUACUGGCUGGUUGUUGUGUGUGUUACUUGCUGGUUGUUGUGUGUUACUGGCUGGUUGUUGUGUGUUACUGGCUGGUUGUUGUGUGUGUUACUGGCUGGUUGUUGUGUGUGUUACUGGCUGGUUGUUGUGUGUGUUACUGGCUGGUUGUUGUGUGUUACUGGCUGGUUGUUGUGUGUGUUACUGGCUGGUUGUUGUGUGUGUUACUGGCUGGUUGUUGUGUGUUACUGGCUGGUUGUUGUGUGUGUUACUGGCUGGUUGUUGUGUGUGUUACUGGCUGGUUGUUGUGUGUGUUACUGGCUGGUUGUUGUGUGUUACUGGCUGGUUGUUAUGUGUUACUGGCUGGUUGUUAUGUGUUACUGGCUGGUUGUUGUGUGUUACUGGCUGGUUGUUGUGUGUACUGGCUGGUUGUUGUGUGUGUUACUGGCUGGUUGUUGUGUGUGUUACUGGCUGGUUGUUGUGUGUGUUACUGGCUGGUUGUUGUGUGUGUUACUGGCUGGUUGUUGUGUGUGUUACUGGCUGGUUGUUGUGUGUGUUACUGGCUGGUUGUUAUGUGUGAUGGCUGGUUGUUAUGUGUGAUUGGCUGGUUGUUGUGUGUGUUACUGGCUGGUUGUUGUGUGUGUUACUGGCUGGUUGUUGUGUGUGUACUGGCUGGUUGUUGUGUGUGUUACUGGCUGGUUGUUGUGUGUGUUACUGGCUGGUUGUUGUGUGUUACUGGCUGGGUUGUUAUGUGUGAUUGGCUGGUUGUUGUGUGUGUUACUGGCUGGUUGUUGUGUGUGUUACUGGCUGGUUGUUGUGUGUGUUACUGGCUGGUUGUUAUGUGUGUACUGGCUGGUUGUUAUGUGUGUUACUGGCUGGUUGUUAUGUGUGUACUGGCUGGUUGUUAUGUGUGUUACUGGCUGGUUGUUGUGUGUUACUGGCUGGUUGUUAUGUGUGUUUACUGGCUGGUUGUUAUGUGUGUUACUGGCUGGUUGUUAUGUGUGUUACUGGCUGGUUGUUAUGUGUGUUACUGGCUGGUUGUUUUGUGUGUUACUGGCUGGUUGUUAUGUGUGUUACUGGCUGGUUGUUAUGUGUGUUACUGGCUGGUUGUUAUGUGUGUUACUGGCUGGUUGUUAUGUGUUACUGGCUGGUUGUUACAACUACAAUACCACUACUAG
Molecule: long non-coding RNA, 1269 nt
Filed under: Oncorhynchus kisutch (coho salmon)
Lineage: Eukaryota; Metazoa; Chordata; Actinopteri; Salmoniformes; Salmonidae
Description: lncRNA (ENSOKIG00005018231.1)
Source: RNAcentral